Molecule: long non-coding RNA, 411 nt
Organism: Limulus polyphemus (Atlantic horseshoe crab)
Lineage: Eukaryota; Metazoa; Arthropoda; Merostomata; Xiphosura; Limulidae
Exons: 3
Source: RefSeq, a predicted model, not a curated record
CAGAACGAGAAAGAUGGCGUUAACUUCACCAAACAAACGGAUGCAUUUUAAAUAGGAAGAUCCGAGAAAUAUUAGAUGUUCUUUCUAUUAUCCAUGCAUUUUCAAUAAACUUUCCUUGUAACAAAAGUUUUUGGUUCAUAUACGACCACGGACGCCUACUUAUCAAAUAAUAUAUUUUGAUAUGGUGUCUCUCUGAGGGAGUAAAUUUCGUCAAGAAACCGAAAUGAGUAAAAGUUGUACUCGAGCUACUACGAGUGUAAUAUCACUCGUUACUUGGUUGUUAGGUGGCACAUCAGUCGGAUACAUGAUGUGGGUUUUGAGCACAUCUCCAGAGCCUCAUAAUUUCCUAACCGGAAAAUUAUUGUUUACAUAUACAGUUCUCAGCUUUGGAUCUUUCAUGGCAGUCACUGG